GAACUUGCCUCUUGGUCUGGGACAACUGUUGGAAACGACAGCUAAUACCGGAUAUUAUGAGAUUCUCGCAUGGGAAACUUAUGAAAGCUAUAUGCGCCAAGAGAGAGCCUUGCGUUCCAUUAGCUAGUUGGUGGGGUAACGGCCCACCAAGGCGACGAUGGAUAGCCGGCCUGAGAGGGUGAACGGCCACAAGGGGACUGAGACACGGCCCUUACUCCUACGGGAGGCAGCAGUGGGGAAUAUUGGACAAUGGACCAAAAGUCUGAUCCAGCAAUUCUGUGUGCACGAUGAAGGUCUUCGGAUUGUAAAGUGCUUUCAGUUGGGAAGAAGCAAGUGACGGUACCAACAGAAGAAGCGACGGCUAAAUACGUGCCAGCAGCCGCGGUAAUACGUAUGUCGCAAGCGUUAUCCGGAUUUAUUGGGCGUAAAGCGCGUCUAGGCGGAAAAAUAAGUCUGAUGUUAAAAUGCGGGGCUCAACUCCGUAUUGCGUUGGAAACUAUUUUUCUAGAGUACUGGAGAGGUGGGCGGAACUACAAGUGUAGAGGUGAAAUUCGUAGAUAUUUGUAGGAAUGCCGAUGGAGAAGUCAGCUCACUGGACAGAUACUGACGCUAAAGCGCGAAAGCGUG
Molecule: ribosomal RNA, 627 nt
Filed under: uncultured bacterium
Lineage: Bacteria
Description: bacterial SSU rRNA
Rfam family: Bacterial small subunit ribosomal RNA
Source: RNAcentral